RNAcentral lists this ribosomal RNA (253 nucleotides) under uncultured bacterium. RNAcentral's name for it is "partial 16S ribosomal RNA". It matches the Rfam family "Bacterial small subunit ribosomal RNA", at positions 524 to 776 of the family's 1533-position model. The record is from RNAcentral.
UACGGGGGGGGCAAGCGUUGUUCGGAAUUACUGGGCGUAAAGGGCUCGUAGGCGGCCAACUAAGUCAGACGUGAAAUCCCUCGGCUUAACCGGGGAACUGCGUCUGAUACUGGAUGGCUUGAGGUUGGGAGAGGGAUGCGGAAUUCCAGGUGUAGCAGUGAAAUGCGUAGAUAUCGUAAGGAAGGCCGGUGGCGAAAGCGAGCCUCUGGACAGUUACUGACGCUGAUGCACGAAGGCCAGGGGAGCAAACGGG